UACGUAGGGGGCUAGCGUUGUCCGGAAUCAUUGGGCGUAAAGCGCGCGUAGGCGGCCCGGUAAGUCCACUGUAAAAGUCAAAGGCUCAACCUUUGAAUGUCAGUGGAUACUGCCAGGCUAGAGUCCGGAAGAGGCGAGUGGAACUCCUGGUGUAGCGGUGGAAUGCGCAGAUAUCAGGAAGAACACCGACGGCGAAGGCAGCUCGCUGGGACGGUACUGACGCUGAGGCGCGAAAGCGUGGGGAGCGAACAGG
RNAcentral lists this ribosomal RNA (253 nucleotides) under uncultured bacterium. RNAcentral describes it as "partial 16S ribosomal RNA". It matches the Rfam family "Bacterial small subunit ribosomal RNA", at positions 524 to 776 of the family's 1533-position model. The record is from RNAcentral.